GGCGUGUCUUUAAGCGGUAAACAAAGUAGCACGGGGGAAAGUUUAGGGAAGUACCAGGUAGUGGGAUAUUUCUGUUGUUGACUCUGCUGUUGGGAACUUCUGUGUUUACGUCCACAAAAUGACCGCCACUUCAGAAACACACUUCAUGGAGUCGCAGAGGGGGGACGGCCGUAAGGAGGGAGAGAAAUCGACGGCAACGGCGGAGAAGUUCGGUAUCUUCUGUGAUGAACGCGGAUAUCUGGAUCUGAUCGAAUACAUAAUCCAAUACGGCCGCAGGAAUGGAGACACAGGGCGCCAACUCUCACGCUUUGGCCGUGAGACACACGCAACUCAAUCCAUUCACACGCCACACUCCCAAUAUCACACGGGCAAAAAAAAAAUCCACUUUGCUGUUAUGGGAAUAUGUAACCUUUGGGGAAAUCCAAUCCGCGUUUUCCCUCCAGAGAACGCCAAGUUUGUGAAAAUCCGGUCCGUAUUUUCCGUCCUACACUCCCCAGUCAUUGUGCAGCUGUAGGUGGCUGUCAGGCUGGAUGUCUCUGAGGGACGGACCUGUGUCUGGAAGCGCUGCCCGGGAGCUUUAAAUGAUCGCGAAGGAUUGAUUCCAGAUCAUCAUACCGACAUUAACCUAUUUUCAGGAACAUGACAAGCUGUGGGAGGAGUUUAUCGACUACCAAGUCAUGCAGGUGUCUCUUCAAAUCCAAGAAGACCUUGACUUGGAGCACUUCUGGGCAGAACUGGUCAGCAGGAAGCACAAGAGAACAGACAUCACACAUUUUCGAGGUCUCGUGGGAAUACCUGAAUAGGCGGCCAAGGGUCCACCUAGUGACCCAACCUAUCCCAUGAUGCACUGCACACUGAUGAGAGUUGGCCUACUGAGAACAUUGAGACUCCACAAGCUGAACUUCAGCAGCAGUAGAUUAGACGUUUAAAUGUAAGUAUCAGGUCACUUCCAUUUCAUACAGUCAAAUUACAUCAACACACGGAAAAAAAAUUCAAAACUUUUGACUAAAUCAUGCCAAAACAAGAAAAGUCUCGGUUUUUGUUUCAUUUUCGACCAACAAGGUUGCUAGGCGACUGAAGAGACAGGAGGUCCUCUAGAGCCCAAAGCAUCCCAUUUAACACCUUCAUAUCCUUUAAAGGCGUGGUCUUACAGGACACAUCCUUCACAGUGGGACACAGCUAUUGGAUGAAAUGAAAGAUUCCUCUGAGUUUGAACAUCAUUGAAAGCAUUCUGCCUAAUCUAAGUGCCCAUUUUAAAACAAAUGACAUACUAUACCUUUAAACAACUCGUAACCUUGUACUGCUGUGCGGAGAAACCUUGAAGGUGUGACAAAUGCAUGACAAAAUCACUGACGACUCACAUCUACAAGGGGGUUCCACAUCUUAAGAACAUUAGAAACCACGGUUUUCCCCUUUAACUCCCUUCACUCAGAGUCCAGCAGCCCUUAUAAGGAUUCACAGCUGCUGUGAUUCAGUCAAAGUUGUGCAAAAGUGCAGAGCUGUUCAGGAUGUGACUUGUUAGCGAGUCACUCUAAUCCUGACAGUUUACAUUGCUUUAAAAAAAACAGACAGACUAGAAUAACAAUAAAGCUCAGAUUGUGACUCAGCUGUUAAAAUCAGCGACUUAAGACGAAAUGACAGCGUCACCGAAAGCACCCGAACCUCCUUUUCUUGCACCUCCUUCCUUCUUAACCCCAUCCUGAUCUUCUAAGAACCUGAAUCAGCAUGAGUCCAACACUGAGUUUGAUAUCUGUAAUGAGGAUUUGGCAAUUUUACCUCAACUUUCAAUUAAAAAAUAAUGAAAAAAGGUGAUGAAAAUGGAUGAAAUAAGUGAACAUUUUGUGGGAGAACUUACAAAAAUGACAGAUGAGUUUCCACUUUCAGUCUUUUUUUUUGCAAAUAUAAUCCUUAAGCUUCAUGUUUAUGAUAAUUAAACAAUAUCUAUCAUAACUGAUGUUAUCAUAGUGGAGCAUAUUAAGCUACUUUAGAGAAUUUAUCUGCAAUCUGAUAUUCCUCUGGGAUUUAAAGCACAUGCUGUCUCUUCACUGAUGUCUUUUAUUUAUAUAUAAAUGAUUAAUUACGACAUUUGCAGGCAAAACUGCAGCUUUAUGUUAUUUUAUCAGAGGACAGCUUCCUUCCUUUGAUGACAGGUCAGACAGGCCCAUCUCCAUCUGAUCCUGCUGCUCUCACAAAGACCACUUUCAUUUCAUUU
Molecule: long non-coding RNA, 2212 nt
Organism: Acanthochromis polyacanthus (spiny chromis)
Lineage: Eukaryota; Metazoa; Chordata; Actinopteri; Pomacentridae
Exons: 4
Source: RefSeq, a predicted model, not a curated record